GCUUGCCUGGGAUAACACUAAGUGUUGUUAGAUGAUGACCACUUGGUGAGCAUCUUCCAUCCUGGCACUUGAUCAGAUCAUCCAUUCCUCUGGUUUAUUCGUCAGCAUCACUUUGAGGUUAAUCCAACACUUUUCCUCCACAUCGUGCGAUCAAAUAACGUACCUAAUUGAUAUGCAUAAUGCAUAUGAGUGAGAAUAAUUAUAAACAAUACAAGAUAAUAACACUAUGCCGAAGAGGGUAAUAUAUUGCUAGUAAGGCAUUACAACUCCUAGGCAAACACUAGCUACCUUUGAAUUAACAACGAUCAUGAUCCUCGAGCUAGGGGGACCUAAUUCAAAUAUUUGGAAAUCAUAACUAAACAUAUGCCUUAAGCUAAAGCAUAACAUUGAUAGGUUAUUACCCUUAGACUUGUCACUUUUUAACACUCAAAACUUGGAAAAGGUGAUAGAACAAGCAUCAAGAAAGCAGUACA
RNAcentral lists this long non-coding RNA (473 nucleotides) under Zea mays. Its description in RNAcentral is "long non-coding RNA (ZMAY_LNC004703)". Lineage: Eukaryota; Viridiplantae; Streptophyta; Magnoliopsida; Poales; Poaceae. The record is from RNAcentral.